UACAGAGGGUGCGAGCGUUAAUCGGAAUUACUGGGCGUAAAGCGCACGUAGGUGGCGACGUAAGUCGGGUGUGAAAGCCCCGGGCUCAACCUGGGAAUUGCAUUCGAGACUGCAUUGCUGGAGUACGGAAGAGGAAGGCGGAAUUCCCGGUGUAGCGGUGAAAUGCGUAGAUAUCCGGAGGAACACCGGUGGCGAAGGCGGCUUCCUGGACCGAUACUGACGCUGAGGCGCGAAAGCUAGGGGAGCAAACGGG
Molecule: ribosomal RNA, 253 nt
Filed under: uncultured bacterium
Lineage: Bacteria
Description: partial 16S ribosomal RNA
Rfam family: Bacterial small subunit ribosomal RNA
Source: RNAcentral